GCGCCCCCAGCAACACAUAUAUUAAAACUGAAGUGAUACAGAGAAGAUUAGCAUAGCCCCUGCACAAAGAUGACAUACAAAUGCACAAAGUGUUUCCUAUCUUU
This is a small nuclear RNA of Ailuropoda melanoleuca (giant panda), 104 nucleotides long. The record is from Ensembl. NCBI's taxonomy places the organism in Eukaryota, Metazoa, Chordata, Mammalia, Carnivora, Ursidae.